RNAcentral lists this transfer RNA (73 nucleotides) under Amia calva (bowfin). RNAcentral's name for it is "tRNA-Asn". It matches the Rfam family "tRNA". Rfam says of the family: Transfer RNA (tRNA) molecules are approximately 80 nucleotides in length. Their secondary structure includes four short double-helical elements and three loops (D, anti-codon, and T loops). The record is from RNAcentral. Lineage: Eukaryota; Metazoa; Chordata; Actinopteri; Amiiformes; Amiidae.
UGGGUGGAUGCUCAUUGGUUUGGGCGCUUAACUGUUAAUUAAGAAAUUGUAGGAUCGAGGCCUGCCCACUCAG